AAGUCGUAACAAGGUCUCCGUAGGUGAACCUGCGGAGGGAUCAUUAACACGUAUCCACGUAACAACCAAAUCGAGAACCCGGAAGAUCCAAUUUCAAUGAAAAUUGAAUUGCGAGCUUCUAAUCCUCCCUAGUUUAGAUUAACUGUAUACAGAGAUUUCUGUGGUGGGUAUCAAUCGAUUGAUUUCGAUUGAUACGAUCUCUGUAUACUCGAGGUUCGACCUCAAUGUUUUCUGAAUUAGGCUAAUAAUUUUUACCAUCACAGAUACAAACCCCUUUCACCUAACUUAUUUCCAAUUGAAAUUUUUCUAAUUUAGCGAAAGCUAAAUUUGAUAUCUAAACUAAAAGCACAACUCUUAGCAAUGGAUAUCUUGGUUCUC
Molecule: unclassified non-coding RNA, 378 nt
Filed under: fungal sp.
Lineage: Eukaryota; Fungi
Description: partial internal transcribed spacer region
Rfam family: Eukaryotic small subunit ribosomal RNA (bases 1-46)
Source: RNAcentral